UAAUUUGCCCACUGAUAAUAAUUAAAGGGCCGCAGUAUUUUGACUGUGCGAAGGUAGCAUAAUCAGUAGUCUUUUAAUUGGAGGUUGUAUGAAUGGUUGAAUGAGAUAUAUACUGUCUUUUUUAAAAUUAUAUAGAAUUUUAUUUUUUAAUUAAAAAGUUAAAAUAAAAUUAAAGGACGAGAAGACCCUAUAGAUCUUUAUUUUUCUUAAUUAUAAAUUAAAAAGAAUUUUAAAAUUUAUAAUUUAAUAAAAAAUUUUAUUGGGGUGAUAUUAAAAUUUAAAAAACUUUUAAAAUUUAUUAACAUUAAUAUAUGAAUAAAUGAUCAAUUUUAUUGAUUAAAAAAUUAAGUUACCUUAGGGAUAACAGCGUAAUUUUUUUUUAGAGUUCAUAUCGACAAAAAAGAUUGCGACCUCGAUGUUGGAUUAAGAGUUAUUUUUAGGUGUAGAAGUUUAAAG
Molecule: ribosomal RNA, 456 nt
Filed under: Culex bitaeniorhynchus
Lineage: Eukaryota; Metazoa; Arthropoda; Insecta; Diptera; Culicidae
Description: partial 16S ribosomal RNA
Source: RNAcentral